GAUGAACGCUAGCGGCAGGCCUAAUACAUGCAAGUCGAACGGUAACAGGGUAGCAAUACCGCUGACGAGUGGCGCACGGGUGCGUAACGCGUAUGCAACUUACCUUAAACUGGGAGAUAGCCCCUCGAAAGAGGGAUUAAUACCCCAUAGUAAUUAGAUGAGGCAUCUCAUUUAGUUUAAAGCUCCGGCGGUUUAAGAUAGGCAUGCGUGACAUUAGCUAGUUGGUGAGGUAAUGGCUCACCAAGGCUACGAUGUCUAGGGGUUCUGAGAGGAUGAUCCCCCACACUGGUACUGAGACACGGACCAGACUCCUACGGGAGGCAGCAGUAAGGAAUAUUGGUCAAUGGGCGCAAGCCUGAACCAGCCAUGCCGCGUGAAGGAUGACGGCCCUAUGGGUUGUAAACUUCUUUUGUACGGGAAUAAACCCAGGUACGUGUACCUGGCUGAAUGUACCGUAAGAAUAAGGAUCGGCUAACUCCGUGCCAGCAGCCGCGGUAAUACGGAGGAUCCAAGCGUUAUCCGGAUUCAUUGGGUUUAAAGGGUGCGUAGGCGGAUUUAUAAGUCAGUGGUGAAAUCCUGCAGCUUAACUGCAGAACUGCCAUUGAUACUGUAAGUCUUGAGUGUGUUUGAAGUGGGCGGAAUGUGUCAUGUAGCGGUGAAAUGCUUAGAUAUGACACAGAACACCGAUUGCGUAGGCAGCUCAC
This 704-nucleotide ribosomal RNA is filed under the name Bacteroidota bacterium. RNAcentral describes it as "bacterial SSU rRNA". It matches the Rfam family "Bacterial small subunit ribosomal RNA", at positions 28 to 729 of the family's 1533-position model. The record is from RNAcentral. Lineage: Bacteria; Pseudomonadati; Bacteroidota.